RNAcentral lists this unclassified non-coding RNA (379 nucleotides) under uncultured bacterium. Its description in RNAcentral is "contains 16S-23S intergenic spacer region". The record is from RNAcentral.
UCUCGGCUUAUCACCGGCAGUCCCCCUAGAGUGCCCAACUGAAUGAUGGCAACUAGGGGCGAGGGUUGCGCUCGUUGCGGGACUUAACCCAACAUCUCACGACACGAGCUGACGACAGCCAUGCAGCACCUGUGCACGGACUCCGAAGAGGGGCCGAUGUUUCCACCGGCUUUCCCGUGCAUGUCAAGCCCAGGUAAGGUUCUUCGCGUUGCUUCGAAUUAAUCCACAUCAUCCACCGCUUGUGCGGGCCCCCGUCAAUUCCUUUGAGUUCUAAUCUUGCGACCGUACUCCCCAGGCGGUCAACUUCGCGCGUUAGCUACGUUACCAAGGAAGUCUCCUUCCCCGACAACCAGUUGACAUCGUUUAGGGCGUGGACUAC